Molecule: non-coding RNA, 103 nt
Filed under: Metabacillus harenarius
Lineage: Bacteria; Bacillati; Bacillota; Bacilli; Caryophanales; Bacillaceae
Description: Bacillus weihaiensis TPP sequence
Rfam family: TPP riboswitch aptamer (THI element)
About the family: Vitamin B(1) in its active form thiamin pyrophosphate (TPP) is an essential coenzyme that is synthesised by coupling of pyrimidine and thiazole moieties in bacteria. The previously detected thiamin-regulatory element, thi box was extended, resulting in a new, highly conserved RNA secondary structure, the THI element, which is widely distributed in eubacteria and also occurs in some archaea.
Source: Rfam by way of RNAcentral
UUUCACCACUAGGGGAGCACUUUAGCUGAGAGAGACGAUUAAGUCUUGACCCUUAUUACCUGAUCUAGAUAAUACUAGCGGAGGGAAGAGGUGUUUGAAUGUA